CAGCACCAGCAGCGCCGCGGAGCCCAUGGCCGCGCCCGCCCGCCCCUCGCACAGCCGGCGCGGCCGCCAGGAGCGGAGAGCUGGGGCGGCGCUUGCAAGGGAGGAAGGAAGGAGUGAAGGAAGCACAGCGGAACACUGGUGAUGGGAGCUGCGAUACCGUUACGAAUCUCUCAGAAGGAAAGAGAAAACGGCAGCGAGGUGGGAAGGAAUGAGGAAGGGCUGUAACAACACCGCAGCCGGUUCUCUCGAUAUUGGCUCCCUCGAGCCAUGAGGUCUAUAUACGGCCUCAGACUUCCACCUCCUGUUUCCCAUAAAAUUACAGCGGCGUAUAAAACCGUAAAAAACGUCAUGAACAUCUCAAAGUACUGUGAUUUCUCGUAAAGCAGUGCUGGCACUGUUGCAGUGUAUUUUGUUCAGAAAAAUUGUGUGUUCAUCUGCAAAGGGACAGACCAGUGAGCCUCAAAGAACCCAAAGUAUGGUUUCCAAAUCACACUGCAGCUUUCCUGUAGGCCCUCACUAGUUUAAUGCCUUCAUUGACAGCUCAAAACCAGGAAUUAAAGAAACAAGUUUUUAAAUGGCUCGAUGGAAAGAGUGGAAGACAAUCGGUGGCCUGAGCUCAUCUUGAGGUGUAACACCCACCCUACUUGAUGCUUCUGCCCCCUCUGAGCCCCUGGUGCAGAGGGGCCCAGCUCAGCUCCCUGAACUGGGGAUGUUUCACACCAUGGCAUACCCCCCCCACAGCCGAAGCUGUAGAGCACGUAGAGAACUGAGUUUCAUUUUACAGUACAGAAAAGCAAAAGAGUCACGAGCCCACAUACCUUCAGGAGGUUGUGGCAGCACAAAACAGAGGAGCAUCCAAGAACUUGAUUUCAAGACUUGAUGCCAUGUCUGCCUGCUCAGCUGUGAGCACAUUUACAAAGCAGUCGGUUUGCUUUUCUUUAGGUACGAACGGUUUUAUUCCCCUCACACAGCUCACUAUGAAAUUUAAAAUGCUCAUUUCAGCAGCCAUGGUUUGGUUUGUACAAUUUUGAGAUGGGAUUGAAAUGGUGGGGGUUUUUUAGUUUAGGCUAUUUCUUUUGCAAGGAGGGGUUUACUUUGGGGUUUUUUUUGGUGGCGGGGUUUCUCGUUUAUUGUUAAAGCACAGUUGAUGUUCCAUCUGGAUUCAUUAAGUUUCUACUUCAUUUAUGAACCAGGUCAGAAUCCUGGUCAAGAAAAUAAUAUACUGUCUCAGAAUACACUUAAGUGAGAAGGUGAAACAUGCUUAAAAAACAGAAAACCAUGCAAGUUCCUUUAAAGAAGUAAUGGUACCAUUAGUGUCACUUAUCAUCUUGUUAUUACAUGAUGUUUUUUCUUUUAAUGAAUGAGUCGGGUCACUGUGCAUACAAGGAAAGCAAACUACUGACUACAUAUAGGUGCCUACACAUGAUUCUGCAUAGAAAUGCAAUAGCAUUCAAAGAAAUCCCAAUUAACUGCAGGACUUUAUUCAGUUUUGUCAUUUCUCUCCUCAUGUUUCUUAUUGUUUAUAAUUAUAGACUGUAAACUUAGAGAAGGAAAGAAUACAUAAAGCACCUUGGGAUGUUAAAGAGUUAGUUACUUUAGCAACAUAUAUACAGCUUUUACACCAAAUUACAGAAGAAUAAAGUGUGACUGACACAAAAACAUGCUGCUGCUCCUGGUAUGCAGCACAGAGUGCAGGAGUGAACUGCAGAACUCAGGAAUUACCAGAGUUUUGUUUUCGCUCCUGGCUUUCACACACCUAAUUCAGCAUACCAUAACAAGCUACCCUAGACUUGUCUUUAGGGCAUGACUGAACAUGGUCAACAUGCCUUUAUAUUUUUGAUACAAAUCCUUUUGAACUGACAACCCUUCAUUUCAAUACAACAUAAAAAUGCUAGUCCUUCAAUUCAUCUACCAUAUAAAGAAAAAGUACACAAUAUAACCAUAGGUGUUUUUUCACCUGUGAGAGCACAGGGAGGGGCACAGUUCUGAAAAAUAUUGGUCCAAAAAGAAAAAUGUAGCUGAUCUUUUUUUUCCUCUUAAAAUUUCUACUACUUUCAAAAAGGGAUAGAUGGGACCCAUACUGUUCAGCAGCAGAAGUCUGUGCACAAAAAUUUAGCUGUUAGUUCCCAUGUGUGUAUUUUUAAGACUCAGUAACCCACAUUCAAUAUAUUGACUAACUGAAAGGCAGGUUCCAUUUCAGUUCAACUCCCAGCUACCUUUUAGUGAGAUUUAGAGAGAAUUAAGUUUUAAUGCUACCAAAGAACAAUUUGCAAAUUGGCUUUUUUCUUUUUUUAAUACAUUUUUUUCAGUAAGUCAUGUGAUAGCUUCCCAGUAAGAAGGAAACUGCAUUUCAAGAUGAUUACUGUACUUCCGUGUUUUCUUUGCCAUUUAUUCUUUCUGCUGAAGACUGACUGGAGCAACACACACACACACAUAAAAACCUCAACCUAAAAACAAUGCUGUAAUUAAGUAUUCUGAGAACAUGCUGUUUCCUUGUUCAAGGCUUAUAAUUAAGUUAAAUCAUGUUUCAUUUUCAUGUCCCAGUUUUAGGGUUUGUUUUUUGUUUGAGAGCAUUUUUAAACGAAUGACAUUUUUGCUGUUUAAAGAUAUGAAAGUUUUAAAGGCAGUGGUUUUAUUUUUUAAAAUCUUAAGACACAAAACAAGAUCUUUUGUGUGCUUUUUUACUGUGUACCAUAUUAACAUUAUUUUCUGAAAUGCCACAAAUUUAGGUUGCUACUAUUAUUACUCUGCAGUACUGCAAGCAGAUAUUCUUAGCAACUACGACAAAAAGCUGAAGGCAAACCUAUGCCUUUGACUCUGUCAGAAUAAAUUCAGAGUAGUUCUGUUGAAGCUGCCCAAAUUCUGCCAUGUUAAUCCAAAAGUCCUUUGUUUCCAAUUGCAUAUGCAGUUUCUAUCAUCACAACUGCUGCUGUUUUCUCUUUCAAAUUCAUGUUAAAUGAAUUCAUGCAAAGGUUUCAAACAGGUUCUUGCAGAUUUGGGUGCAGUACUUCAAGAUAUUACUGCCCCCACCUGUCCACCCUGUACUAUUCUUCUCCUGAAGGUAAACAUCUCUGAAGCAAAACAGGACUUGUGUUCACACCAGUCCACAUCAGGGCAUGCUGUCUCUUUUGGUAGCUGUGCACUGCUGAGGAUACCACCACCACUGACCAUUUGUCAAAGGUGCAAAGCAACUAAAGGAUCAUCUACCCUGUGGAAUUUUGUCUAGAUGCAGAAGUAUCAAUGCAGACAUGUUGGAUAAGUACUGGUAAUGAAACUGGACUGGUGUUUGUAUGACUAAAUACCUUCAGGCAGCACAGCAUAUCCAUAUGAAAGCCCCACAGCUCCUCAACCUAACACCUGACCUCUGUUUCCUGACUGCCUCUGCAGAACAGAACUGCUGUGCAAAAUAGUUCCUCCCUGGGCUGGGGUAAAGGCCAUAUGAUGCAGGGAGCUCUCCAGCUAUGGAUUUGUAAAGGACGUUAUUCCGUAUUUAUCUUGAAUCCCCCCCAAAAUGAUGUUAAAAAUAAAAUGAGGAAAUAAAUUAAGAUUGCUUUUAGAGGAGGACGCUAUUCAUACAGCACUAGAAGAGAAUGUUUUACUAGGUUAUUGUGAGCAAAAUACAAAGUAGGCCUAAAGUUUCUUUCAUAAUUCUGGUAAAGUCAGUAGGUCACUGCAAGGGGAUUUCCUUAGCAAACAAAAUUACUCAAUGCUAGCAAUCACAAGUAAUUAAAAAUAAGUAUGUGGAAGAGAAGUACUGCUGCAGGCAAAUGCUAUAAUGGAAGGGAAAAAGCAAAAUAUACGUAAUAAUAAUUUUAAAAUUGCAUAAGCAGGAAGACAGGUGAUACCUUGAAUGUAACCUUAAAUUUCAUCAGAUAUGCUGGGCCAAAAGCUUGUAUUUCAUAUCUCUACAUAACAUCUUGCUUUGAGAUGAGCUUAAAACACAGGAUUUAGGUUUCAGGUCACCACCUUCUAUAGCACAGACACAAAAAGUGGAAGGAUCUUUAAAGCCAACAUGGCCAGAUUUCUAAAGACAGGUUCUUUAGAAGGUGGAAUUCCCACAGCUUUUAUUCUCUUCAUUUUUUAAACAAUUUUGAAACAAUCCUAAUCUAUUUUUAAGAUUACAUAACACUGACCAUUGUCGUUUACCCUUUGUCUCAUGAACAGCAAAGUCACUGUCUGAAGACCAGGUAUGGUGCUGUCCAACCUCGCCAUCAACUCUCAUUAAAACUUACUUAAAACAUAUUGAGAAUCAACGCCAAUUCUCAGGCACUUACAGGAAAUUAGCCUUUCUUAAAGGUCUAAAGCUAGACAGUCAUCUGUCUGCAAUGUACAACCACAAUACAAUGUACGAAAAAAGCCUUGUCCCCAAAAGCCUAAAAUGAAAUCCCUCAAAACGUGCGUAUUGCAGGUAACAAACAGUUUCUCCCAUGAUGGAAGUUUGAGAGGCUCACUGAGCCUGUGUACUUGGCACUUUACCAGCCGAGUGCAUUACACACCAAAUAGAGCAAACUAAGUAUGAAACAUACUGUUUUAAUGAAUGUUUUCUGUGCAGGUGACUAUUACGAGAAUCUCAACAUAGGUUUAUAGCUGAUGAACUGGAUGACUAAAUGGAGUUGAAACAGCUGGGAGCUAGAUUUCUUUUUCUAACUCAAGUGACUCUAGACAAACUACUGGGGCAGGUUAGGACCUCUGUUUCUCAGACCUUCAGUGGGGGUAAUGCACCUGGCUUCAGCACUAGGACAAACUCUGUCUAUUCAUUUCUGCAAAAAUGACUCAAAUGUAAGCACCGAGGAAUAUUCAAAAUAAAACUGUGGGCACUUGAAAGAGACUUUUUUCCCCCUUGGAAGAUUAAUGAUUAUUUCAACACCUGUAAGAACUUCCAGAAUUCUUAAUCAAUGAAGUCCCCACUGAAUUGACUCAAGGCCCACUCAUGCAACAGCAUAAGCCAAGAGCCUGUCUACGUAUGAAAAAAUAUUCACUUGUCCAGUGUGAGUGAUUCCAGUGCAAACCCCUUAUGUAAUGGAACCACAUCCUCAUGCAGUCCAGGAGGCCACAUGCCACAUCACUCACUGCACUGGUACAAAUGUCUCAGGAGUAAGAGUUAUUGGAAUUGACUCAUUCACAUUCACGAAAGAGACAUUUUUUAAUACGGGCUCUAUUUUUUUUCCCCAAAUGACUUAGUACAUAAACAGCACUAAAAAUACUAUUUUAUACAUACACCCAUCUGUAAAAAUUAAAAAAAAAAGCAUUACAUACUUGAUUCUCACUGCAACAAAAAGGAAAAGACAACUGCAAUAUACAAAGAUCCUAUAUAUUCUAGGAUCAUAGACUAUCUCAAAUCGGAAAGGACCCAUAAGGAUCAUCAAAAGUCCAACUCCCCGCUCCUUGCAGGAUUAAAUAAAACUAAACCAUAUGACUAAGAGUAUCAUUCAGUUGCUCUUUGAACUCUGACAGGCUUGUUGUUCUGAACCACUUCCCUGGGGAGCCUAUUCCAGUGGCUGCCCACGCUCUCAGUGAAGAAGCUUUUCCUAAUGUCCAGCAUGAACUUCUCUGAUGCACCUUCAUUCCAUUUCCUCAUGUCCUCUCAUACGGACUACAAAUACCUUGUUUUGGUACUAGUAAAAAUUUUAAUCUUAUGAUACAUGCAUUGGAAGAAGGAAAUGCAGGCAGUAGUUUUAUGGCUAGAAACAUGAAGAACCUCAGGGAUUUGAACCUUUGUCUCUUCAGCUCAGUUGUUGGUGAAGGAAGGGGAGUGACUAUGUUAAGAUACUACUUACACUCAUUUUGUUUAUAGCUAAAUUCUCAGCCCACUGGAUCCAAGUAAUCUGGUGCUCAAAUUAGUGCCUACAUCUUUGAUUACUGCUACAAGUGUCACAAUUCCAUGGAAGAAGUCUCUUUUUUCUCACCACUGGGACUGUAGAUAAGCACAAAGGCAACAGUGGCCUGUAAGAAAGGUUCUAAAAACCACAAGAGAUCACUGCCUGGAAUCCUCUAAAAUUGUUUCAGAAAAAUCUUCAGCUAGUCUAAACUGUUAUAGAUCUAAUGAAAGGAGAAGAACUUUAAUUAAACCUUCGUAUAAAACACUCAGCAUACAUUUUGAUGUCUAUAGAACAUUUCAAAAAAGUGCCACAAUAUUUAAAGUUUUAAUUAGUGAGUUGGCGAGUGAACAGCCACCUAAUUUUGUGGCAAUUUUUACUUACUAGCAGAACAAACAGCAUUCAGCAAACAACCAUUUCCAAAGAUAUGGCUCUCUCCUAAAAGGGUUUCUUCAUCACAGGAAGCUGUCAUGACUCCAGAAUGUUAUUAAGCACUUACAGAGUUCAAGAUGCAGAAUCAUCUUGAGUACUUAUCUGUCAAUAAAGGUUCUAUUAUGUUGA
Pseudopipra pipra is the source of this 6377-nucleotide long non-coding RNA. RefSeq lists it as uncharacterized. The transcript is spliced from 2 exons. The record is from RefSeq and is a predicted model, not a curated record. NCBI's taxonomy places the organism in Eukaryota, Metazoa, Chordata, Aves, Passeriformes, Pipridae.